CUUGAUUAAUUAUAAGAGGUCAAGCCUGCCCAGUGACAUUGUUCAACGGCCGCGGUAUCCUAACCGUGCGAAGGUAGCGUAAUCACUUGUCCUUUAAAUAAGGACUAGUAUGAAUGGCUUCACGAAGGCUAUACUGUCUCCUUAAUCUAAUCAAUUAAACUAAUCUCCCCGUGAAGAAGCGGGGAUUCAUCUAUAAGACGAGAAGACCCUAUGGAGCUUUAAACAUCUAAGACACUUGAUUUUACCUACUAAACUUCAUGCAACCUAUCCUUUUGUCUUAAGUUUUAGGUUGGGGUGACCACGGAGAAAAAUUAAACCUCCACGUAGAAAGAAAAUUCUUUUCUAAGCAAAAAACCACAUCUUAACGCAUCAAUAUAUUGACUUAACUUGACCCAAUUUCUUGCUCAACGAAC
This 413-nucleotide ribosomal RNA is filed under the name Allobates femoralis group sp. ABGD cluster 9. RNAcentral describes it as "partial large subunit ribosomal RNA". It matches the Rfam family "Bacterial large subunit ribosomal RNA", at positions 1834 to 2457 of the family's 2925-position model. Lineage: Eukaryota; Metazoa; Chordata; Amphibia; Anura; Aromobatidae. The record is from RNAcentral.